UGGAUUUGCUCAGAGAAGACAAAAAAAAAAAUAAAUCUGCUGGUUUUCUAGAAUAUUCUGAUUCAAUUGCUAACAGUAAAAAUGUACAAAUUAGGAACAUUAUGAUUUCCUUAAAAUGUCUGGCUCAUUGAAAGCAGGGUCUGAGCAAAAUAAUGUGCCUGCAGUUAUAAAAAUCUCUGCUUUUAGAAAUGGGGAAGAAUUACGAGACUUUUCUUAAGAAAGGCAUGUUGACAGCUAUAAAAAGCCAAUGUUAAUAGUACUAUUAAAAUCAGUGUAAGUGAUUGUGCUAGUAGGGCAAUCAAGAUUUGGCCCAAUACCCUUGCUUUGUAAACAUCAGCAUCCCUGAGAUUAAUAUAAUACUGACUAGCCAAUGACAUGUUAAAACCUUAGUAAAAUUAACUGUGUUUGAAAGGCUGUUCCUUUAAAAUGUAAAGCAAAUGGCUGAAAUAAAAUGUGGGAUACAGGGGGAGAAGAGAAAAUCAAUAAACCAGCAAACUGUAAAUGAUGUGUAAAUAACUUCUUUAUGUUUUCCUGUUUUUGUAGUUUACAGUUAGCACCAGUAUAUAAAUCUAAGAGCUUUGUGCAAGGGAAGAAAAGUAGAUCCAAAUCUAAAGAGUGUUGUGGAAGCAUGGAGAAUUGUGUUCUACCCCAGGACUAGUGAUCUGAUGGUAAGUUAUCAGCUUUGUUAUGCAGGACCUCUGUAUAUGGAUCAUGUGUACUAUGGUUUUGACUUUGUUUCACAUUGAAGUAAAGAGAUGGUGAAAAAAUAUGGGUCGCAUUAGGCAGAUGCUGUCUGAAUUUUCGUUAAUUGUAAUGGCAAUGUUGUAAAACAAAGUGGCAAGGACCCCUUACACUUUCACAACAAAGAUGAGGAAACAAAACAUGAAUACUUCUGGACAAAAGUGAAUAAGAGGCAUCUUUUAAAGUAUUAAGGUUACAUUGCCCCUAUUCUAAUGGUGUUUGUUAUGUUUUUUAAAGUAUCCAUCAUGAAUUUGAUUUUUUUAAAUUGAUCUUUGAAGUAUUUCAGAUCAACUACUUUUCUGCUGUCUUUUGAUUUAUUUUAUAGGUUGAAAGGAUCAUAUCUGCACUACUGUCACACAUUUGAAUAGCUUGUGUAAGCAUGUGAAAUCCCUCAAGAUGCUUGAUGACAGUUCCUGAAUAUUUAUUUGUACUAGCUUGUCCCUCUCUCCUUGUCUCACUGGACUUCAUGUCUUUAGAAGGGAGCUGAGAAAAUUAUCUGCCUGGAAUGAAGCACCAGUAAACUGUUUGGGUCUGUAUGUAAAAACAUGUGUUUUUACACAUUUAAUUGGAAAUGUGCCACAUACUUAAUGGGAAGUUUUACUUUUGCAAUAUCAAAGUCUUUGAUUGAUAUAAACAGUGAGUUCUUCAGCUAAGGAAAGGGCACAUUGUUGUUGCCUUAAAUUACUGGUGCUGAAGUAAGCAUUGUCUGGUGCACAUUGUGUAACAAGGGGCACCUGCAGAAUGAAAGCUGGACAAAAAGAGUGUGGGGGUAGACGGAAAAAACAGAUGACAUAUGAGACUCCUUACUGCCUUUAAUUCUUCCACAUCUGGGCUACAGUACCUCUGUUGCUCCCUUGCUCACUGUUAAGUGCUAUAGGGAUUAGUGAGGCAUAGAAACCUGUCACAGACAUUGGAUA
RNAcentral lists this long non-coding RNA (1658 nucleotides) under Anas platyrhynchos platyrhynchos (common mallard). Its description in RNAcentral is "lncRNA (ENSAPLG00000022101.1)". Lineage: Eukaryota; Metazoa; Chordata; Aves; Anseriformes; Anatidae. The record is from RNAcentral.